UGGGGGAUUUUGCACAAUGGGCGCAAGCCUGAUGCAGCGACGCCGCGUGAGGGAUGAAGGCCUUCGGGUUGUAAACCUCUUUCGCUGGGUUGAAAGGCCAUGCUUUGGGUGUGGUUGAUUUGAACUGGUAAAGAAGUACCGGCUAACUACGUGCCAGCAGCCGCGGUAAUACGUAGGGUACUAGCGUUGUCCGGAUUUAUUGGGCGUAAAGGGCUUGUAGGUGGUUUGUCGCGUCUGUCGUGAAAUCCUGUGGCUUAACCAUGGGCUUGCGGUGGGUACGGGCAGGCUUGAGUGCGGUAGGGGAGACUGGAAUUCCGGGUGUAGCGGUGGAAUGCGCAGAUAUCAGGAGGAACACCGGUGGCGAAGGCAGGUCUCUGGGCCGUUACUGACACUGAGGAGCGAAAGCGUGGGGAGCGAACAGG
This 422-nucleotide ribosomal RNA is filed under the name Fusobacteriota bacterium. Its description in RNAcentral is "Fusobacteria bacterium partial 16S ribosomal RNA". It matches the Rfam family "Bacterial small subunit ribosomal RNA", at positions 355 to 776 of the family's 1533-position model. Lineage: Bacteria; Fusobacteriati; Fusobacteriota. The record is from RNAcentral.